AGACUUUCAACUUGAUUUAAGAUCACUUUCAGGUGGUCGGAAAUUUCAGAAUUUCCAGUAGUGUAAUGUAUUCGGAUGGAGGCGCACUAGUUUUAGGGCUUUAUCGCUGGUCGGGUCGGUACGACUAGAUAAACUCGGGCGUAACAAAGAGAAACAAACCCAGCUAACGAGUGGACUCAUGUUUGGACCAACAACCUCAGGUCGGGUCAACAUGUUAGGCGGUCGGGCCUGCUCGGGUACGACUACUCUCGGCUAUCGGCCUUGGGGUCGGAGACAUUCUCUAUCAGAUAUAAAUUAAAGGUCACAUUUUAAAUCCCAUUGAAAGUAUACUGGGAAGUUGAGGUUGGCCGUCCACAGAUCUGAAUCCCUGUGAAUCUCAUUGAAAGCAUGUUGUGAUGUUGAGGUGGUUGACCACAAGUCUGAAUUUAAUUGAGGUAGCAUGCUAUGCAAUUGAGAUCAUGGUGCAAGAAGCCCUAGUGCAAGUAGCAAUUUGAGAUGAUAGUGGAUCUGUUGAAGAUGAUUAAAGUAGGAUUCUAAGGCUUACCCUACCUCUUCUAUAUGUUUCCCUGAUCAAGGGAGAGAUAAAUAAUAAUAGUAGUAAUAAUUAAUGUUAA
Molecule: long non-coding RNA, 614 nt
Organism: Ipomoea nil (Japanese morning glory)
Lineage: Eukaryota; Viridiplantae; Streptophyta; Magnoliopsida; Solanales; Convolvulaceae
Exons: 2
Source: RefSeq, a predicted model, not a curated record